GACGAGCGCUGGCGGCGUGCUUAACACAUGCAAGUCGAGCGGUAAGGCCCUUUCGGGGGUACGACGAGCGGCGAACGGGUGAGCAACACGUGGGUGACCUGCCCUCAGCUCUGGGAGUAAGCCUGGGAAACCGGGGUACUAAUACCGGAUAUGACUCCAUGACGCAUGUUGUGGGGUGGAAAGCCUUGUGCGGCUGAGGAUGGGCCCGCGGCCUAUCAGCUUGUUGGUGGGGUGAUGGCCUACCAAGGCGACGACGGGUAGCCGGCCUGAGAGGGCGACCGGCCACACUGGGACUGAGACACGGCCCAGACUCCUACGGGAGGCAGCAGUGGGGAAUCUUGCGCAAUGGGCGAAAGCCUGACGCAGCGACGCCGCGUGAGGGAUGACGGCCU
This 392-nucleotide ribosomal RNA is filed under the name uncultured bacterium. RNAcentral's name for it is "bacterial SSU rRNA". It matches the Rfam family "Bacterial small subunit ribosomal RNA", at positions 28 to 417 of the family's 1533-position model. The record is from RNAcentral.